Molecule: small RNA, 80 nt
Filed under: Salix viminalis (osier)
Lineage: Eukaryota; Viridiplantae; Streptophyta; Magnoliopsida; Malpighiales; Salicaceae
Source: RNAcentral
AGACUGAAGUUGGCUUCAAAGAAAUCCACCAUUGAAGACGAUCAAAAUGGUGGAGAAUAAGUCUUACAGAAUUAUGUUCU